AUGAAUUUAUCAGGUACUCGGUUUGCUGACCAAGACACUCAUAAUGCUUCUACUACUAAGUAUAUUAAUGUUAAUAUGUUUGUUUCAUCUCAACUCACCAGGGUCCAUUACAUAGCUGGAAACAAGAUCAAAUCGUGUAAGGUUCAAAUUGAUUGGACAGAAAAAGAUUGGAUUUGCUUGUUUUGGAAAGAUUUGGUACAAGGAUCAAAUCAUGAAUCA
Molecule: non-coding RNA, 219 nt
Organism: Vicia faba (fava bean)
Lineage: Eukaryota; Viridiplantae; Streptophyta; Magnoliopsida; Fabales; Fabaceae
Source: the annotation of a GenBank genome assembly